Molecule: non-coding RNA, 238 nt
Filed under: Streptomyces glaucescens
Lineage: Bacteria; Bacillati; Actinomycetota; Actinomycetes; Kitasatosporales; Streptomycetaceae
Description: Streptomyces sRNA 4677
Rfam family: Streptomyces sRNA 4677
About the family: Located in the intergenic region between anti-sigma factor SCO4677 gene and a putative regulatory protein gene SCO4676. scr4677 expression requires the SCO4677 activity and scr4677 sRNA itself seem to affect the levels of the SCO4676-associated transcripts.
Source: Rfam by way of RNAcentral
UGACCCGGUGACGCCCGACGCCAAAGACCAAGAACCGGGGGAAAGAACCGGACCCUCCCCUGCCGUCCCCGUCGAUCACUCGCCGGAGUGAAUAUGCCCAACUGAACUGGCGUCCGGCACCACUUGUGGUGCAGCGUCAGUCGCGACAACCCCAGACACGCCUCACAUGCAUCGGCCCUCGCCGGGACUGCCAUCCCAGUGCGAGGGCCUGAUCACCAAGGAAGAAAGCCGCUUCCCG